AACAAGGCGUACCUGCGGACCUGCGGAGGGAUCAUUAUUGAAUUAUGAUUCUAGAUGGGUUGUAGCUGGCUCUUUGGAGUAUGUGCACACCUGUCUGGACUUCAUUUUCAUCCACCUGUGCACCUAUUGUAGUCUUUGUCAGGUAUUUGAGGAAGUGGUCAGCCUAUCAGCACUUGCUGGAUGUGAGGGCUUUGCAGUGUGAAAGCAUUGCUGUCCUUUACUUGGCCAUGGAGUCUCUUU
RNAcentral lists this unclassified non-coding RNA (240 nucleotides) under soil metagenome. Its description in RNAcentral is "partial contains 5.8S ribosomal RNA, internal transcribed spacer 2, and large subunit ribosomal RNA". The record is from RNAcentral.